CGGAGGAAAAGAAACCAACAGGGAUUGCCCUAGUAACGGCGAGUGAAGCGGCAAUAGCUCAAAUUUGAAAGCUGGCCUCUGGUCCGCAUUGUAAUUUGUAGAGGAUGCUUUUAGGCAGCCGCCGGUCUAAGUUCCUUGGAACAGGACGUCAUAGAGGGUGAGAAUCCCGUAUGUGACCGGCUCAGGCACCUUAUGUAAAGCUCCUUCGACGAGUCGAGUUGUUUGGGAAUGCAGCUCUAAAUGGGAGGUAAAUUUCUUCUAAAGCUAAAUACUGGCGAGAGACCGAUAGCGCACAAGUAGAGUGAUCGAAAGAUGAAAAGCACUUUGGAAAGAGAGUUAAAAAGCACGUGAAAUUGUUGAAAGGGAAGCGCUUGCAAUCAGACUUGGCCUCGGAUGUUCAACCGGUCUUCUGACCGGCCUAUUCAUUCGGGGCCAGGCCAGCAUCAGUUUCGGCGGCCGGAUAAAGGCCUUGGGAAUGUGGCUUUCCUUCGGGGAAGUGUUAUAGCCCAGGGUGUAAUACGGCAGCUGGACUGAAGUCCGCCUUCGGCUAGGAUGCUGGCGUAAUGGUGUAA
RNAcentral lists this unclassified non-coding RNA (572 nucleotides) under Kabatina mahoniae. Its description in RNAcentral is "sequence contains 28S rRNA gene". It matches the Rfam family "Eukaryotic large subunit ribosomal RNA", at positions 51 to 643 of the family's 3401-position model. The record is from RNAcentral. Lineage: Eukaryota; Fungi; Ascomycota; Dothideomycetes; Dothideales; Dothioraceae.